UGGUGAGUAACGCGUGAGGAACCUGCCUUCCANAGGGGGACAACAGUUGGAAACGACUGCUAAUACCGCAUGACACAUUUGAAUCGCAUGGUUUGAAUGUCAAAGAUUUAUCGCUGGAAGAUGGCCUCGCGUCUGAUUAGCUAGUUGGUAGGGUAACGGCCUACCAAGGCGACGAUCAGUAGCCGGACUGAGAGGUUGACCGGCCACAUUGGGACUGAGAUACGGCCCAGACUCCUACGGGAGGCAGCAG
Molecule: ribosomal RNA, 250 nt
Filed under: uncultured bacterium
Lineage: Bacteria
Description: partial 16S ribosomal RNA
Rfam family: Bacterial small subunit ribosomal RNA
Source: RNAcentral